Molecule: non-coding RNA, 162 nt
Organism: Podarcis lilfordi (Lilford's wall lizard)
Lineage: Eukaryota; Metazoa; Chordata; Lepidosauria; Squamata; Lacertidae
Source: the annotation of a GenBank genome assembly
AAUAGAGGGAGAUGCGGUAGAUUUCAAGCAUAUAUAUAUGUGUGUGUGUGUGUGUGUGUGUGUGUGUAUACACACUACACACACACAUAUAAAAAAGGUAAAGGUACCCCUGCCCGUAUGGGCCAGUCUUGCCAGACUCUAGGGUUGUGCGCUCAUCUCACU